Long non-coding RNA from Hemicordylus capensis (graceful crag lizard), 253 nucleotides. RefSeq lists it as uncharacterized. The transcript is spliced from 2 exons. Lineage: Eukaryota; Metazoa; Chordata; Lepidosauria; Squamata; Cordylidae. The record is from RefSeq and is a predicted model, not a curated record.
CUCUCAGUGACUUCCAGCCACAGGAGACUAAUGAAGAGCGCUCCGUGGCCGAAACCAGCAAAUGGUCACUGCUCCAGAAAAGGAAGUCGGGAGUGAACAAGCAUGUUUGGACCUGUGAUGACCUUCCUGGACACCACCCCCCUCAAUUUAUCCUGCAUCAUUCUUCCUGCUGAAUGUUCAUCAGAGAGUCCAGCCUUUGCCAAACAUUCUGUCAAUUUGACAUUUUAUUAAAGCAUGCCAUCUUUGAUUCCAA